CGAAUUCGAGACAACAUACGCACCUCUUUUUAAAAAUCUUAUUUAUAGAUAAUGUAAACAAAAACGCCUGGACUUCUACUUUGAAAACGUCGCGCAACAUCCCUUUUGGCUGCCAUUAUUUGAGCCAAUUUUUCGUAUUGCCCGUAUUACCGCUCGCGAAAA
Long non-coding RNA from Rhagoletis zephyria (snowberry fruit fly), 162 nucleotides. RefSeq lists it as uncharacterized. The record is from RefSeq and is a predicted model, not a curated record. NCBI's taxonomy places the organism in Eukaryota, Metazoa, Arthropoda, Insecta, Diptera, Tephritidae.